This is an unclassified non-coding RNA of Homo sapiens (human), 102 nucleotides long. It matches the Rfam family "Y RNA". Rfam says of the family: Y RNAs are components of the Ro ribonucleoprotein particle (Ro RNP), in association with Ro60 and La proteins. The Y RNAs and Ro60 and La proteins are well conserved, but the function of the Ro RNP is not known. The record is from Ensembl. NCBI's taxonomy places the organism in Eukaryota, Metazoa, Chordata, Mammalia, Primates, Hominidae.
GGCUGGUCUGAGUGCAGUGGUGUUUACAACUAAUUGAUCACAACCAGUUAUAGAUGUUUUUGUUUCAUCUUCACUCCCACUGUUUCACUUGACUAGCCUUUA